AGGUAAAAAAUAGCCCGAAACGACUCCUGUUUCGGGCUUAGGGGAAUGGCUCGUGAGAGCCUUGCGCUAACUGGUUAGUAAAUGGAGAUCAAUUACACUAUCAAUGGUAGUUCAAGCAGUAUAAUUUGCCAGUAU
Non-coding RNA from Photobacterium ganghwense, 135 nucleotides. NCBI's taxonomy places the organism in Bacteria, Pseudomonadati, Pseudomonadota, Gammaproteobacteria, Vibrionales, Vibrionaceae. The record is from Rfam.